GACGAACGCUGGCGGCGUGCUUAACACAUGCAAGUCGAACGGAAAGGCCCUGCUUUUGUGGGGUGCUCGAGUGGCGAACGGGUGAGUAACACGUGAGUAACCUGCCCUUGAAUUUGGGAUAACUUCAGGAAACUGGGGCUAAUACCGGAUAGGAGCUCCUGCUGCAUGGUGGGGGUUGGAAAGUUUCGGCGGAUGGGGAUGGACUCGCGGCUUAUCAGCUUGUUGGUGGGGUAGUGGCUUACCAAGGCUUUGACGGGUAGCCGGCCUGAGAGGGUGACCGGCCACAUUGGGACUGAGGUACGGCCCAGACUCCUACGGGAGGCAGCAGUGGGGAAUAUUGCACAAUGGGCGGAAGCCUGAUGCAGCAACGCCGCGUGCGGGAUGACGGCCUUCGGGUUGUAAACCGCUUUCGCCUGUGACGAAGCGUGAGUGACGGUAAUGGGUAAAGAAGCACCGGCUAACUACGUG
RNAcentral lists this ribosomal RNA (468 nucleotides) under uncultured bacterium. RNAcentral's name for it is "partial 16S ribosomal RNA". It matches the Rfam family "Bacterial small subunit ribosomal RNA", at positions 28 to 507 of the family's 1533-position model. The record is from RNAcentral.